UGCUAGCUUGCUAAUAAUUCUCUAGUGGCGCACGGGUGAGUAACACGUGAGUAACCUGCCCCCAAGAGUGGGAUAGCCCCGGGAAACUGGGAUUAAUACCGCAUAAAAUCGCAAGAUUAAAGCAGCAAUGCGCUUGGGGAUGGGCUCGCGUCCUAUUAGUUAGUUGGUGAGGUAACGGCUCACCAAGGCGAUGACGGGUAGCCGGUCUGAGAGGAUGUCCGGCCACACUGGAACUGAGACACGGUCCAGACACCUACGGGUGGCAGCAGUCGAGAAUCAUUCACAAUGGGGGAAACCCUGAUGGUGCGACGCCGCGUGGGGGAAUGAAGGUCUUCGGAUUGUAAACCCCUGUCAUGUGGGAGCAAAUUAAAAAGAUAGUACCACAAGAGGAAGAGACGGCUAACUCUGUGCCAGCAGCCGCGGUAAUACAGAGGUCUCAAGCGUUGUUCGGAAUCACCGGGCGUAAAGCGUGCGUAGGCGGUUUCGUAAGUCGUGUGUGAAAGGCGGGGGCUCAACCCCCGGACUGCACAUGAUACUGCGAGACUAGAGUAAUGGAGGGGGAACCGGAAUUCUCGGUGUAGCAGUGAAAUGCGUAGAUAUCGAGAGGAACACUCGUGGCGAAGGCGGGUUCCUGGACAUUAACUGACGCUGAGGCACGAAGGCCAGGGGAGCGAAAGGGAUUAGAUACCCCUGUAGUCCUGGCAGUAAACGGUGCACGCUUGGUGUGCGGGGA
Molecule: ribosomal RNA, 733 nt
Filed under: uncultured bacterium
Lineage: Bacteria
Description: bacterial SSU rRNA
Rfam family: Bacterial small subunit ribosomal RNA
Source: RNAcentral